RNAcentral lists this ribosomal RNA (230 nucleotides) under uncultured bacterium. Its description in RNAcentral is "partial 16S ribosomal RNA". It matches the Rfam family "Bacterial small subunit ribosomal RNA", at positions 118 to 346 of the family's 1533-position model. The record is from RNAcentral.
UGAGCAACCUGCCCUUGACUCUGGAAUAACAGCUGGAAACAGCUGCUAAUACCGGAUAUGACCUCCGAUGGCAUCAUCUGGAGGUGGAAAGCUCCGACGGUCAAGGAUGGGCUCGCGGCCUAUCAGCUUGUUGGUGAGGUAACGGCUCACCAAGGCUUCGACGGGUAGCCGGCCUGAGAGGGUGACCGGCCACACUGGGACUGAGACACGGCCCAGAUCCCGUAACGGGG